RNAcentral lists this ribosomal RNA (474 nucleotides) under uncultured organism. Its description in RNAcentral is "partial 16S ribosomal RNA". It matches the Rfam family "Bacterial small subunit ribosomal RNA", at positions 335 to 800 of the family's 1533-position model. The record is from RNAcentral.
ACUCCUACGGGAGGCAGCAGUGGGGAAUUUUGGACAAUGGGCGAAAGCCUGAUCCAGCAAUGCCGCGUGAGUGAAGAAGGCCUUCGGGUUGUAAAGCUCUUUUGUCAGGGAAGAAACGGUGAGAGCUAAUAUCUCUUGCUAAUGACGGUACCUGAAGAAUAAGCACCGGCUAACUACGUGCCAGCAGCCGCGGUAAUACGUAGGGUGCAAGCGUUAAUCGGAAUUACUGGGCGUAAAGCGUGCGCAGGCGGUUUUGUAAGUCUGAUGUGAAAUCCCCGGGCUCAACCUGGGAAUUGCAUUGGAGACUGCAAGGCUAGAAUCUGGCAGAGGGGGGUAGAAUUCCACGUGUAGCAGUGAAAUGCGUAGAUAUGUGGAGGAACACCGAUGGCGAAGGCAGCCCCCUGGGUCAAGAUUGACGCUCAUGCACGAAAGCGUGGGGAGCAAACAGGAUUAGAUACCCGUGUAGUCCCAUGA